CCUACGGGUGGCAGCAGUGAGGAAUAUUGGUCAAUGGGCGGGAGCCUGAACCAGCCAAGUCGCGUGAGGGACGACGGUCCUAUGGAUUGUAAACCUCUUUUGUCGGGGAACAAAGGCGCCCACGGGUGGGCGGCUGAGUGUACCCGACGAAAAAGCAUCGGCUAACUCCGUGCCAGCAGCCGCGGUACUACGGAGGAUGCGCGCGUUAUCCGGAUUUAUUGGGUUUAAAGGGAGCGUAGAUGGGUUGUUAAGUCAGUUGUGAAAGUUUGCGGCUCAACCGUAAAAUUGCAAUUGAUACUGGCAGUCUUGAGUACAGUUGAGGUAGGCGGAAUUCGUGGUGUAGCGGUGAAAUGCUUAGAUAUCACGAAGAACCCCGAUUGCGAAGGCAGCUUACUAAACUGUGACUGACAUUGAUGCUCGAAAGUGUGGGUAGCAAACAGGAUUAGAUACCCUGGUAGUC
This 460-nucleotide ribosomal RNA is filed under the name uncultured bacterium. RNAcentral describes it as "partial 16S ribosomal RNA". It matches the Rfam family "Bacterial small subunit ribosomal RNA", at positions 338 to 795 of the family's 1533-position model. The record is from RNAcentral.